This is a long non-coding RNA of Chinchilla lanigera (long-tailed chinchilla), 4493 nucleotides long. RefSeq lists it as uncharacterized. NCBI's taxonomy places the organism in Eukaryota, Metazoa, Chordata, Mammalia, Rodentia, Chinchillidae. The record is from RefSeq and is a predicted model, not a curated record. The transcript has 3 exons.
UGAUCUGGCCGUGAGCACAAUGGACCCUGCUGACCUUCCAAUGAAUGAGCUGGGGAGCAGUCCAUAGGGUUGGGAUUCUCAUCUUCAGAGACUCUGAUUGAGAAGAAGUGAAGAAGGACCUUAGUGUGUACAACACAACAAGCACUAGUGAUGAUUUUGAUGCCUGUUGUACACUGAAGACAUUUUCAAGAAACAAGUGUAAUUUUCAUUCAGAAGAUGAAAAACAUGAAAUCACCUACUCAGGGACCAUUCCAAUAACCAAAUCAAAUCCACAGCCUGGUUGAUCUGAUCAACUGUGCAGAAACUGGCCAUUACUGUGACAAAGUACCGGGAAUCAAACUCACACCUUGCACUUGCCAGGCAGGCGCUGUGCCACUGAGCUAAAUCUCCAGGCCCUACUAAUUUCCAUUUUAAAAACUGGAAUGUAAGGCCAUGCCUCACAGCAAUUAAUAACUUUUCUGGCAUCCCAUAUCUCAUACUAAUAUUAAUGCAAAGUAGAUAGUAAUAUUGUGCCAGGGGAGCAUUCCUCAUGUGUUGGGAACAGUGCCAAAAGCAAUGUAUUCUCUAUCCUCCUAGUCCAGUGGUUUUCUAUUUACCACCCAGUGCAUAAAAAAGAAAUCUACCAUCUUCUAUGGAUGGUACAUUUAAUAGCCUCAGAAUUCUUGAGUGGUAAAACCAAGAGUGGAACCAAUAUCGUCUCAUAUCUGGCCUAGCGCUUCCUCUACAAUAACAGACAUCAUAUUCCUGAGAUGAUCUACCCAAGAAGAAGAAGCUGCAGUUUGUGGCACACAAAUCACAUCACUCUUACCACUUGUACAAAGGAAACUUCUGUGACUGACUAGUUAGCUGGGUGUGGUGAAUCUCAGCAUUCAGGGAGGCUGAGGCCGAGGGAUGGAAAGUUUGAGCCCAGCCUGGGCAACUUAGUGACUUAGUAAGACUAUCUCAAAAUUUUAAAAAAAGAAAAUCAAAAUAUACCAAGCCUUGUAUUUUAUUCUAGAAGCAAGGUUCCAAGAAGGAAUAUUCCUCCAUAUUUUACUAAAAUUUCCCCUGAGGAGCACAUCUCUGUGGGGCUGUUAGUACAAAGGGUUUGGAGGAUUUCUAAAUGCAUUCAGAACAUUCACAACUUCCUGUAGGAAAUCAAGAUGGUGCCCAGUGACAGAAGAAAGAGGAGGGAUGGGAGGAUUCUGAGAUUCAGAAGCAACCACAGUCGAGAGCUUUCUGUCUAAUAAUACUCUUUUCUCCCCCUUGACUGAAGCUUUCACAUGUGAAGUGAAGGGAAACAAAUAACUAAAUAGGGUAGACACAGUGGCUCCUCAGUUUGCAAGCUUAAUUUUUUGUGCAAUUUGGGGAAAGAUGGUUGCAUUUGUGUUUGUGUGGAGAAAAUGAUCACGGUUUUGUCUGUCACCUGAUGCCACUUGCAAAUGGAAGCAAAAUUUUACCAAACCCUUUUGUUUGUGAAGCAAAUUUUUUGCGAACAAUAACAUUCAUGAACUGAAGUAUUACUGUGCUUAAACUACUCCUCAAGAGAACUAGUGGAAAACUUGGAAUAAGAUGUCAAUACUGUGAGUGAAAUUUGAGGGGGAAUUUGAAAAUCUCCUCCAUCUUGUGUAAUCCCCAUUUUUAAAACUGUUGCCCUCAAGACUCCUUUACUAACCCCAGAGAACUGAGUGAGAAAAAGUCACAUGGUUUCACAUUUGGGAGAAAAUUUCUGGUUUAAUUUUAAAAAGCUAUAUUCUCAAAUAGCAUUCUGUAAUCAGUCCACUUUUACAUGAUGCCCCAGUUAAAGUAUAUGAAGAAAAUUAGACCUUAUGCAGAUGAGUAGCCAGGAAAGAGUAAUUGAACAGCUUUUCAUAUAAUUGUAGCUAUUUAUCUUUGACAUUGCACCAAAAACUGUACAAAUUGUUUCUGAAAGGUUUUUUUGCAAUUUGGAAUCUGAUGCCAUAUUAAUUUUUCAUACUCCACUACAUCAAAACCCAUUGGCUUCUCUUCCAUCGAGUGUUGUUUUACCCAAGUAUAAUUUUCUUGGUAUUGUGCUUUGGUCAUUUGGAAAAUAUUGGUUCCUUAAAUAAUUCAGCUCUUCCAAAUGUUGACAUGUUUCACUGUUCAAUAUAAAAACCAUCUCAGUCAUUGAUAUCACUACUAAUCUCAUCAGAAUGUCUUGAAGUAUUGGGAAGCUGUCAAGUUCACAGUGGGAGAUACAGUUUUCCAGAAUUCUAAUUUUUGUUUUAAAGGAAGAAUGUUAUCAUUGACAAAAAUAACAUCAGUUGUUUCUUUUGAAGUGGCAGCUUACUUCACUCAUUUCCAAAAACCGAAGGCUAGAUAGCCAAGUCUCAGGAGCUGCUGCUUAUUGACCAGCAGCUCAACUGAGUGGUGCUGCAUGAAAGGGGACAAGUUCAGUUCACCAUGCAAACAAUUGCGCAGCUGGUUUGUCCCAGACAUGUGUGGCACCAUGGUGUGAACUCACGACUGUAGGUGUGUUUCUCCUUUUGUCCAAGUGACUGUGAAAAAUAUGUGUACCCCAGGCCCAACAUUUGGUAAAGCCAGUAAUAUUACUGUUUCAUCAUGACUAUUCUUACAUUGAACUAGUUUUUGCCAUCUAUACCUCCUCUGUCCUCUUGUUUCUGCCUUUAUUUCUUUGGUGAAUGCAAAGUGGGAAGGAGUCCAGUAACUGCUGGCACUUUUGGUGGCUUGCUUUAAUUUGCAUGAAGGUCCUCACAUGGACUCAUAGUUUAACCAAAUGGGCACUGAAAUGUCAAGACAGUGAAAAAUAUGCUUUUUUAUCAUUUUGGAAAGAGUUUAGACAAUAAAAUGAAGGAAAGAGAGCCUUUUCAACACACUGUGCUGGAAAAACUCUACAUUCAUAUGCAAAGAUAUGAAUCUAGACAGAGACUUUACACCUUUCAUAAAAAUUAGCUCAAUAGCUCUGCAGAUAAAAAGAACUAAUGUAAAGUGAGAAACUCUAAACUUCUAUCUAAGAAGAUAAUAUAGGAAAAAAAUCUAGAUGAACUUUUUAGAUACAAUAUCUGGGAUGAUCCAACAAGGAAAAGAUUGAUAAGCUGAACUUAAAAUCAAACUGAUUUGGGAUGUCAAAGACACUGUCAAGAGAAUGAAUAGAAAAAGUCACACGCUGGAAGAAAGCAUUUGCUAAAGGUUUGUCUGAUAAGAAACCAUCAGAAACUGUUGAACCACAACAGUGAGAAAACAAACAAUGUAAAACUGGGCUAGAACCCUAAUGAAUACUUCACCAAAAAGGAUGCAUAGGUGACAACUGAGCACAUGAGGUGCUCAGGGUCAUAAGAGAAAUGGAAAGUAAAGUGACAGUGGAAACCACAAAACGUCUGAGAAGUGGCUCAAACCCAGAACACGGACAACACCAAAUGCUAGCGAGGAUGUGGAACAAGAGAAAUCCUGUUUCUUUACAGUGGAAUGAUUUAUCAUCGCAUCUUGGGAGAUACUCCAGGAUUCCAUCGACAUUAUCCUCACUCUCCAAGUGGAAGAAGUAUUCCUGUUUCACAUGGGGGAGAACUGAAUUCUAGAUGUGGAGACACUAAGGUCCCACAGCCUACAAAGCAGAUGGGAUGAAUAUGAAGUCCCUCCGUGUCGUGCAAGAUGUUCACCGUGCAGCUGCCGCAUCUCACUAGUGACAGUACAAGUUGUCUUUUGUGACUUUAAGUACACAACAGUUUCAGUGAAUGCAUUUGAAAGUCAGGCAAUGAAGAGAUGCUUUCAGUUGCUCCAGCACCACCCCGGGUAGGAGAAAGACAAAGUCAAGCUGUGCUGUGUAUAUUAUGGGUUGGAUGGGGACAGUUCCUCUUGACUUCUACUGGGCUUGGAAAUGAAAGGGACCGUGGAAGUGUGCCGGGUUCUUAUUAAUACGCCUGCUCAAAAUCAAUCAGAAAGGUUUUGCUUUCUGUUCAUGGGUCAAGGGUUUGAUUUAUGCUACACAGCUCAUCGCCAGAUCACUCAGGUCAACAGCAAAAUUUAAUUCCUGAUGAGCAAUCCUUACCCUGAGCAAUCCAUACCCCAGGACCACGUCCUAGAGGGACCUUUAUGGGAUAAAGUCCCAGCCUCUGCUCAGAACCUGCCACUGUGGAAAGAGAUGAAGAUAUUUUCUGAAUGUAAACUGAGACAGAAGUAGCCAGCCCUGCCUUUGGCAUGCCCAGUUGAGAGGAGGCUCGGACAUUUUCUGCUAAUUUGUGGCACACACCUACACUUAACUGGUCAUUCAGGAGAGAGUUGAGGGCUGGAAAGGACUGGAGACCAACGAUCUAAUCAGGCCCUGAUGUCUUUCUUCUACACUGUGUGAUCCUAAAUGAUAACCUGCAGUCACCUGUGGCAACUGAGCCCUUGAAUGGGGCUGAAGAAAUGAGCUGAGAAAUGCUGUAUGUGUACAGGACACGUACCAGAUUCCAAAGACCUACUAGUAAAAAAUAUAAAAUGAACUAAAACAUGCCAUAAUUGUUAGGUUGAUAAUAUAGUGAGCCUAUAAUCUG